GAUGAACGCUAGCGGCAGGCCUAAUACAUGCAAGCCGAACGGCAAGUCUGUUAGCACUAUUGGACCUAGAGUGGCGCAAGGGUGCGUAACACGUAUGCAACCUGCCCUCGACAGGAGGAUAGCUUCCCGAAAGGGGAAUUAACCCUCCAUAACACCAUGAGAAGGCAUCUGAUCAUGGUUAAACCGCACGGUGUCGCGGAUGGGCAUGCGGUUGAUUAGGUAGUUGGCGGGGUAAAGGCCCACCACGGCGGUGAUCAAUAGGGGUUGUGCGAGGAAGGUCCCCGACACUGGCACUGGGACACGGGCCAGACGCCAGCGGGAGGCAGGAGUAGGGAAUAAUGGGCAGUGGGUGCAAGACUGAACCAGCCAUGGGGCGUGGAGGAAGAAGGCCUUCUAAAGCCUAUUCUGCGUGUAAGAGAAGAUGAAAGACCAGUGCGCGGGGAAUUGAAGGUACCAGGAGAAUAAGCAACGGCUAACUACGUG
Molecule: ribosomal RNA, 483 nt
Filed under: uncultured bacterium
Lineage: Bacteria
Description: partial 16S ribosomal RNA
Rfam family: Bacterial small subunit ribosomal RNA
Source: RNAcentral